Molecule: ribosomal RNA, 722 nt
Filed under: Flavobacteriaceae bacterium AU423_Ted3_MB20
Lineage: Bacteria; Pseudomonadati; Bacteroidota; Flavobacteriia; Flavobacteriales; Flavobacteriaceae
Description: bacterial SSU rRNA
Rfam family: Bacterial small subunit ribosomal RNA
Source: RNAcentral
UGCAGUCGAGGGGUAACAGGGUUGCUUGCAACCGCUGACGACCGGCGCACGGGUGCGUAACGCGUAUACAAUCUACCUUUUGCUGCGGGAUAGCCCAGAGAAAUUUGGAUUAAUACCGCAUAGUAUGUAAAUCUCGCAUGGGGGUUACAUUAAAGGUUACGGCAAAAGAUGAGUAUGCGUUCUAUUAGCUAGAUGGUAAGGUAACGGCUUACCAUGGCAACGAUAGAUAGGGGCCCUGAGAGGGGGAUCCCCCACACUGGUACUGAGACACGGACCAGACUCCUACGGGAGGCAGCAGUGAGGAAUAUUGGACAAUGGAGGGAACUCUGAUCCAGCCAUGCCGCGUGCAGGAAGACUGCCCUAUGGGUUGUAAACUGCUUUUAUACAGGAAGAAUAAGUCUCUCGUGAGGGACGAUGACGGUAUUGUAUGAAUAAGCACCGGCUAACUCCGUGCCAGCAGCCGCGGUAAUACGGAGGGUGCAAGCGUUAUCCGGAAUCAUUGGGUUUAAAGGGUCCGUAGGCGGAUUAAUAAGUCAGUGGUGAAAGUCUGCAGCUCAACUGUAGAAUUGCCAUUGAUACUGUUAGUCUUGAAUUAUUAUGAAGUAGUUAGAAUAUGUAGUGUAGCGGUGAAAUGCAUAGAUAUUACAUAGAAUACCGAUUGCGAAGGCAGGCUACUAAUAAUAUAUUGACGCUGAUGGACGAAAGCGUGGGUAGCGAACAGG